GGGAGAUUUGGGAGCAAUUCCAGGGAUUUGGGGUGUGAAAACAGAAAAACAGAGCCUGGAUUGACAGGAUGCAAUAGAACAUACAGAGAGAAUUUGAGAGGAAUUUGGGGAGAAAGCUGGGAAAAUUGGGGCCUGAGCUUACACUGGAAAAGCUGGGGGAAAACAAAGAGAAACAGAAACACACACAACAGAUGUGGGAAGGAACUGCAGCGUGUAGAGACAUUUGGGGGAAUUUAGCAGAGUUUGGGAGGGCAGGAACAGUUUGGGGGAACUGGGGGUUACAAACAACUCAAAAGUACCAUGAAAAAAGGAACACAAAAUAUCAUAGUAACUGGGGGUGCAUACAGGGUCGUUUAAACUACAAAAUAAUACAGAAAAAAUACAAAAGGAUGUGGGUACGCGUUGGGAGAAGAGCAGAGCUUAGGGUCAGAGACACAAAGUUUGGGUUGGUUGUGCACAGGGAAUGUCCAGGGACAAGUAUGAGUCAGGGACACACGGGGUCUGGGACAUGGCAGCGCAAUGGAAGCACGUACCGAUGCGGCGCUCCUCCAGCAGAGACUUGAUCUCAGCAAUCUUGUCCAGCGCCUUCCGCAGGAUGCUGCAGAGUGCAUCGGAGUGGCUGUCACGCAUAGGGGGUACGGGGCAGGAUGUAGGGUUGUUGGGGUGCAGGGUGUGGGGAUGUGGGUAUGUGGGGGCUGCCCUACUUGCACUCGGCCUCAGCGUCCGCCUUGGCAGUGGUGUAUAGCCCGCGCAGCUUCGUGCGGUAGUACGGAGAGACUGGAGAGGGGGGUGUAAGAACACCUAUGAGGCCAUGCCCCCGUCGGCCACGCUCUUUUUCCCAAACCCCGCCCCCUUCCCCAAGCUCUGCCCCUUUCCCAUGGCCCUACACGAAAAUUGCCCCCCCCCCCCAUAACCCUUCCCUGUCCGCUAAAAUCCUUCCUGUCCCCACCCCCUCCCUAUUACUCGGCUCCCUUCCCAGAAGCUUGCCUCUCCUCACACAACUAUCCCCACAAAGCCCCAUCCCGCAGCCCCCUUUAGGUCCCCAGCGCCAACCCCGCCGCGUGGCCCUGCUCUCUCACUCUUGUUCUCGGUCUGCAUCCUCUCGUGCGUUUUCUGGAUGUUGAUGAGGUUGUGCUCGCUGCGGGAGCGCUCCUCCUGCGUGUGCCCCAGCAGCCGCUGCAGCUCGGCCAGCAGCUCGGCGAUGCGCGAGUCCGCCGACACCAGUGCCAUAACGGCGGCGACAGCGCAGCGCCUGCGGAGCGCUCUACGCACGCGCCAGUCUCGACAAAGCACUACGCAGGAGCCAUUCUAGAGACAGCAAUACGCACGCGUGAUCCUGGAAAAAUUACUAGGCAUGUGCCACGCUUGCUGCCGCACUGCGCAUGCGCUAUGCUGGAGACAGUAUUACGCAUGCGCCAGUCUCUGCACAGCGCUGCAUGCGCCAAUUUCGAGAUAGCAACACGCAUGCGCCAGUCCCCCCCCCCACAGCACUACGCAUGCGCUCAUCCAAGCACGGCACUGCGCAUGCGCCCGUCUUGAGACAGCCACGCGCAUGCGCUAGACCUUGCACAGGAGUACGCAUGCUCCAAGCUCGUUACAGUACUACGCAUGCACCAUUCACGCGACAGGUAGCACGCAUGCGCGCUUUCGGAUACCAGAGACAGUUGUACGCAUGCGCAAGUGGAAGACCCGCCUAGAAGAACAGAGACCAUUAGCGUAUGCAGAUUCAUGGAGCAGAGCGGUUAGAGGAAAAAAAAAAAAAGGCUACUUCCCCGUUUCUGUGCGCAUGUGUGUUACUGCACGUAAGACUACCGCUUGUAGAUGCAGGCGGACUCAGUGCAGAGUGACUGGCGAGGAAACUCCACUUCUUUGCAUGUGCCUGUUACUGCCUGAAGGACCAAUGAGUGCAGACACUGGCAGUCUCCCUUUGCUGAGCAGUUAGAAGAGAGGGACGCCACCUCUGCACGUGUGCGCACGUGCAUGCUACGUCUGGAGAAGUCCUGCUGCGGAAUGCUGCUCCCCCCAUCACCAUGCGUCCCUUCAUGCCUACCCCCGCAGUGCACCGCUCUGAGAACCUUCUGCAGCACACAGCAGCAGUGGCACCAGUGCCCUAUGCCCCGGGAAGAGGCAGACGAGUACCGUACUGCACGUGCCAAGGGGAUCAGGACGCCCCGUUCUAGCGGACCGCUGCCCCUUUCCAGGACUGCCUAACUGAUGUUGGAUUAAACAUCGUGAUUUAGAGAGCCAGAACCCUCUGUGAGUAGAAAACAGUAACGACUGUGGAUGCACGCCCAGCAGUGCAAAUAGAGCUUGCCUGUAUAAGACAAGUGGACCAUCUGUUUCAGACUGCUUUUUAUUAAGUAGCAUAACACCACAUCUCUAAUGCACAAAUGAUUAACUAUACUACAUCUUGUCUCUAAAAUAAUGAAAGGGAUAGAAUAUGUUCACUAUCGAAAGAAAAGAACUGUUCUACAUAGAAAGUAAAUAAUUUCCUGGCAAAAAAAAAGAAACAGUCUUUUACCAACAGAUACAAUUUCAACUAAAGUUAUAAAUAUAUGAAAAACUGUUCUCUAAUACUAUGGAAAAUAAUAAAAUCACCUUGCAGUCAAAAAUUAUUUCAACAGCUCUUGUUAUGAGUUAAUGUUGCUCAUCGCUCCGUUCAGAUGCAGGACAACUGGCUGUAUACUUUUUCUUCAAGCCUUUCAAAUAUAUUUGCAAGCUAUCCGAAUCCAAUCGCGAAUUUCUAGCAGUCUGAACCAAUCUCAUAGCUAAGUGGUAUACAGCUCUGUGUUUCAUCAUCUCAGGAGUGGUUCUCUGUCUGUGCUGUUCUUAAAAGCAUACACAUACUUUAAAAUAGGAAAUUAAUAACUUUCUAUUAUUAAAAUAUAAGCAUUGAAGGGCUUUUUUUCCACGCUAUUUCUGAUCUGCUGAUUCUUGUUGGUACACCAAAAUUACAGCCAGUACUCCUGAACCCCAAAGGCUGCUUUCUAUUGUCACCUAACAAAGGCCUUUACCAAAAUCUCUUACAAGUACUUUCAGAAAUCAAAAUGUUACUUUCUUGAUAACAUCCGUCAUCAUAAAACCCUAUGUAGUGUUUAUGCUGUAAUCUUUCAGAAACAUUUAAAAUAAACCAGAGUUUUGCAAAAACUGAGAAUGACAGCAGUAUACAUUUAUAAAUAGCUGCUACAUACCAAAAUUUGUUUUGCAAUAUGGUUUGUGAUUGCCUUUGCAUCCAAAAUUAUGGAUGGUGGUAGAGAGGAAACUUCUGCAGCUUUUAAUCCUAAACAAAGGAAACACAAAUCAGGAUCUAUGAUAACAUUUUAUCCUACCCUCCACAGUAUUUUAUAAUCAGCUCAUUUUAAAGGGUAAAAUAUUCAUCUAAAAAGUUAUUUUGAUAUCAUUUUUCUGUCUCUUUUUCCAUGAAUACUGUUUUAAGAGUUACUGAAUAAAAUGUCUACUUUGUUACAAUGUGGCCCCUAAAAUAUAAUUCCAUGUUAAGUUACUGCUGGCACUAAGUGGGCAGGAUCAGAUACUCCAAAGGAUGAAGGAAGAAUGGCACAGCGGUCAUGAUAGCUUUCUGUUUUGUUUUUUCAAGUUCGGGUUCUGCCAAAUGUACUCACUCCUGAAUGUGGGUAUUUAGUAGAUGUGGGUGUCAUUUUCCAACUUCUGUUCUUUGCCAGCUGCAAAGCUGUCAGGUAUUUCUUUUAAUUAUUUUUUUUUCAAACUUUUGUCUCUGACUCCGGCUGUUCAGAGGAAAUUCUGUGCUUCAGCAGGUGUUCUAAUAAUGCAGGGUUAGAAAUGGUCAAGAAGAGCCCCUGCACUUUUUAUUUAUUUAUUUAUUUUAAUUAAAUACAGCAUUAUUGAAUUAAGACAAAGCCAAGAGACAGCAACACAGAGUUACCAAAGGUCUCCUGUUCACAGAAUCACAGAGUUGUAGGGGUUGGAAGGGACCUCUAGAGGCAUUUUAAGUCCUGUCAAUUCAAGCCAGAUAAGAAUAAUUUGUAGUUUUCAGUCACCACUGGCUUGCAGUAAUCAUGUGCGACUAUUAAAUCUCACCUAAACCACAGGUUCAGCUACAGAAUCUUGCAUUUAGAAAUAUGGAUUUCUACAGCUCUUUAAAUCAUGUAGUUAUACCUUACUGUCACUCACGAUUUGUUGACUCAUAAUCCUUUAAUUUGCACACUCUUCUACUAAGUUAGUCACAGUGGAAUAUAUUACCAUAGUUCUUUUCCUCUGUAUAUCCUUUCGACAGUGUGUAAGUGUACGUAAUCUUCUCCUUUCCAGCACUGCUUCUCACAUGCUGCACUUCAAAAUGGUAAUUUUCCACAUUGGGAUACAAAGCAUCCAUAUGACACAGUUCCAGGAAAUGUGUUGCAAACAAAGUAAAUGCCUAAAUAAGAAAAAAAAGGAAAAAAAAAUAUGAUUCAAAUGAUCCUUUGAUAAAUUACAACAAAUGAGAAAAAUAGUCUCACAGUUCUCCAAGUUUUUAUCCACAACUCUGAAGAGCCAUAUUUGAACUGCUAAAGUAUGACUAAUGCAAAUAAUGCAAAAAAGCCCUAAGUGAUGAGUUCUAUCAUUGGCAAGCAUGUGUGUUUCCACUUAGGACUCCCCAGCUCUUUUCUCAGCAGAAGGGAAACACCAGAUAGAACAGGAAGUCCAUGAUACUUUUAAAAUGUGACAGGUUAUUCUGAAUGACCAUCAAAUGGGUGCUUUACUUUUUUCAGUGUAUGUUUUUCCAAAGGCACAAGCUACAGAAAACAUGUGAGCUUUCCAGAUAAAACCACAACAGUACUCUGAAUGAACUCAGAUUCAGUUUCUUAUCAAUAAACAUCUGUAAGUUGACAACAAGCUGAGGCUAAUCACAUAACUAGUAACAGAGGAGCAACUUUCAACCCAUCUAAAAUCCUUCGACAUUCUUCUAAACAAACCUCUGACCUAUGUAAUGAAUACCUUGGCUGUGUGGAAAUACUGCAUUAAGUAGUUGUAUGGAACUUCCAUCCCCUUUAACGUUCAAGCAUACAAAGUACUAACUAAGCAAACAUGACGAGGCUGGGUUAGUAUUUUUCUAGAUAAGAAAGCAAGUUUUCAAGCAAGGUGCAGAGAUGGUGACCAGUGACCGGAAAUGCAGAAUAUGUCAGCAUUUUUUUCUGUCACUGUAACUCCUACUGUUCACUGGUUAUGAAAAAUGUCAUAUCUAGGCAAUAAAUCUCUAUAAAAUUUUAUCUAAAUUAUGAGAAACCAGAAUACUUACAGUGCAAUAAAAUAAUUAGAAAAAGUUUACACUUUUUUUUUUUUCAGAAUUACCUUCAAAUUCAAGAGAUAUUCACAGGCAGCAUAACAAAUACCAAUACCUUCUUCAGCACUGGUACCUCUGCCAAGUUCAUCAAUUAUGAUGAGUGAUUUGUCGUUAGCAUUUUGUAUGAUGUAUGUUAUCUAGGAAAAUAUUUUAUUAGUUAUCAUUCCUAGGAAAGCAUCUUUUAAAAAUCAUGCUACUAAUUGAAAUACCUUGUGUUAUUCAGAUAAAAAUACAGAAAUGUAAAAGACUCAAGUCAGAUUCAUUAGUUUUACUUUUUCGUACCUUUCAAAUAGCUGUAAAUUCUAAACCAUCAAUGGCUCAAUCCUACAACCCUCCUUCUCUUCUCCACUGAACCAAUGUACUCUUUGCUGGGUAAAAAGCUGGCUGGACAGCUGCACCCCGAGAGUGGUGGCAAAUGGAGUUCAAUCCAGGCAGUGUCUGGUCACUAGUGAUAUUCCUCAAGGGUCAGCAUUGGGGCCAGACCUGUUCAUCAGUAUCUUUACUGAUUAUCUGGAUGAGGGGGAUUGAGUGUACCCUCAUUAAGUUCACAGAUGACUCCAAGCUGGGUGGGUGUUGAUUUGCCUGAGGAUAGAAAGGCCCUACAGAGGGAUCUGGGUAGGCUGGAUCAAUGGGCUGAGGCCAACUGUAUGAGGUUUCACAAGACCAAGUAACAGGUCCUGCACUUUAGUCACAAUAACCCUAUCAAACGCUACAGGUCUGUGGGAGAGUGGCUGGAAAGCUGCAUGGAAGAAAAGGGUCUGGGGAGAUUAGUUGACAGCUGGCUGAACAUGAGCCAGCAGUGUGCUCAGGUGGCCAAGAAAUCCAACAGUAUCCUAGCUUGUAUCAGAAAGACUGUAGCCAACAGGACCAGGAAGAUGACUGUCCCUCUGUAUUUGGCACUGGUGAAUUCACACCUUGACUACUGUUCAGUUUUGGGCCCCUUAUUACAAGAACGAUAUUGAGGCACUGAAGAGUGUCCAGAAAAGGGCAAUAAAGCUGUUAAGGGUGUGGAGCACAAGUCUUAAAGGGAACAGGUUGAGGGAACUGGGAUUGUUCAGUCUGGAGAAGAGGAGGCUCAGGGGAGACCUUCCUGCUCUCCAGAAGUCCCUCAAAUGAGGUUAUAGCGGGG
This 6425-nucleotide long non-coding RNA is filed under the name Gallus gallus (chicken). Lineage: Eukaryota; Metazoa; Chordata; Aves; Galliformes; Phasianidae. The record is from RNAcentral.